RNAcentral lists this ribosomal RNA (387 nucleotides) under uncultured bacterium. Its description in RNAcentral is "bacterial SSU rRNA". It matches the Rfam family "Bacterial small subunit ribosomal RNA", at positions 29 to 426 of the family's 1533-position model. The record is from RNAcentral.
AUUGAACGCUGGCGGCAUGCUUUACACAUGCAAGUCGAACGGUAACAGGUUAAGCUGACGAGUGGCGAACGGGUGAGUAAUGCAUCGGAACGUGCCCGAUCGUGGGGGAUAACGCAGCGAAAGCUGCGCUAAUACCGCAUACGAUCUGAGGAUGAAAGCGGGGGACCGUAAGGCCUCGCGCGAUCGGAGCGGCCGAUGUCAGAUUAGGUAGUUGGUGGGGUAAAGGCUCACCAAGCCGACGAUCUGUAGCUGGUCUGAGAGGACGACCAGCCACACUGGGACUGAGACACGGCCCAGACUCCUACGGGAGGCAGCAGUGGGGAAUUUUGGACAAUGGGCGCAAGCCUGAUCCAGCAAUGCCGCGUGCAGGAAGAAGGCCUCGGUUGU